This 204-nucleotide unclassified non-coding RNA is filed under the name uncultured Sakaguchia. RNAcentral describes it as "sequence contains ITS2". The record is from RNAcentral. Lineage: Eukaryota; Fungi; Basidiomycota; Cystobasidiomycetes; Erythrobasidiales; Erythrobasidiaceae.
AACUCUCAACCCCCUUGUUUUGUAAUGAAACGAUUGUGGGCUUGGAUUAUGGCUGCUGCCGGCGUUAUUGUCGACUCGGCUGAAAUAUACGAGCUACCCAUUUUAAGAAAUAGACGGUUUGACUCGGCGUAAUAACAUAUUUCGUUGAGGACGUCACAUUCUUUAACAUUAGUGGUGCUUCUAAUGCGGCAUCUAAACCUAAGC